AUUGAACGCUGGCGGCAGGCCUAACACAUGCAAGUCGAGCGGAUGAAGGGAGCUUGCUCCUGGAUUCAGCGGCGGACGGGUGAGUAAUGCCUAGGAAUCUGCCUGGUAGUGGGGGAUAACGUCCGGAAACGGGUGCUAAUACCGCAUACGUCCUGAGGGUGAAAGUGGGGGAUCUUCGGACCUCACGCUAUCAGAUGAGCCUAGGUCGGAUUAGCUAGUUGGUGGGGUAAAGGCCUACCAAGGCGGCGAUCCGUAACUGGUCUGAGAGGAUGAGCAGUCACACUGGAACUGAGACACGGUCCAGACUGCUACGGGAGGCAGCAGGAGGGAAUAUGGGACAAGGGGCGGAAGCCUGAUCCAGCCAUGCCGCGUGUGUGAAGAAGGUCUUCGGAUUGUAAAGCACUUUAAGUUGGGAGGAAGGGCAGUAAGUUAAUACCUUGCUGUUUUGACGGUACCAACAGAAUAAGCACCGGCUAACUUCGUG
RNAcentral lists this ribosomal RNA (484 nucleotides) under uncultured bacterium. RNAcentral describes it as "partial 16S ribosomal RNA". It matches the Rfam family "Bacterial small subunit ribosomal RNA", at positions 30 to 507 of the family's 1533-position model. The record is from RNAcentral.